Molecule: ribosomal RNA, 889 nt
Filed under: Lycoperdon curtisii
Lineage: Eukaryota; Fungi; Basidiomycota; Agaricomycetes; Agaricales; Lycoperdaceae
Description: eukaryotic LSU rRNA
Rfam family: 5.8S ribosomal RNA (bases 333-486)
Source: RNAcentral
AGGAAGUAAAAGUCGUAACAAGGUUUCCGUAGGUGAACCUGCGGAGGAUCAUUAUUGAAUACUCUUGAUGAGUUGUAGCUGGCUCUCCGGGGCAUGUGCACGCUUGUCUUGAUUUUAUUCAUCCACCUGUGCACCUUUUGUAGUCUUGGGGGUUGAAAGCAGUCGACUAUCGGAUGGCUAUGGCUUUUCCGGAUGUGAGAAAUGCUGAGUGCAUAGACGCAUACAGCUCUUCUCAAAUGACUUGCAUACCCUUGAGUACUAUGUAUUCAUAUACCACGUCGUAUGUUGUAGAAUGUGAUCAAUGGGUCUAUGUACCUAUAAUAAUCAUAUACAACUUUCAGCAACGGAUCUCUUGGCUCUCGCAUCGAUGAAGAACGCAGCGAAAUGCGAUAAGUAAUGUGAAUUGCAGAAUUCAGUGAAUCAUCGAAUCUUUGAACGCACCUUGCGCUCCUUGGUAUUCCGAGGAGCAUGCCUGUUUGAGUGUCAUUAAAUUCUCAACCCCUCCAGUUGUGAUGGGGCUUGGAUAUGGGAGUUUGCGGGUCCUUUAUCAGUAAAGGUCAGCUCUCCUGAAAUACAUUAGCGGAACCGUUUGCAGUCCCGUCACUAGUGUGAUAAUUAUCUACACUGUGAUGAUUGCUCUCUGACUAGUUCAGCUGCUAAUCGUCCGUUACGGACAAUGUUUAAUGAACUUCUUGACCUCAAAUCAGGUAGGACUACCCGCUGAACUUAAGCAUAUCAAUAAGCGGAGGAAAAGAAACUAACAAGGAUUCCCCUAGUAACUGCGAGUGAAGCGGGAAAAGCUCAAAUUUAAAAUCUGGCAGUCUUUGGCUGUCCGAGUUGUAAUCUAGAGAAGUGAUGCCCGCGCUGGACCGUGUACAAGUCUCCUGGA